Molecule: ribosomal RNA, 274 nt
Filed under: uncultured bacterium
Lineage: Bacteria
Description: partial 16S ribosomal RNA
Rfam family: Bacterial small subunit ribosomal RNA
Source: RNAcentral
AUACAGAGGGUGCGAGCGUUAAUCGGAAUUACUGGGCGUAAAGCGCGCGUAGGCGGUUUGGUCAGUCGGAUGCGAAAGCCCCGGGCUUAACCUGGGAAUUGCAUUCGAUACUGCCAGACUGGAAUGUCGUAGAGGGAAGUGGAAUUCAGGGUGUAGCGGUGAAAUGCGUAGAGAUCCUGAGGAACAUCAGUGGCGAAGGCGACUUCCUGGACUAACAUUGACGCUGAGGUGCGAAAGCGUGGGGAGCAAACAGGAUUAGAUACCCCGGUAGUCC